This 380-nucleotide ribosomal RNA is filed under the name uncultured Bacillota bacterium. Its description in RNAcentral is "bacterial SSU rRNA". It matches the Rfam family "Bacterial small subunit ribosomal RNA", at positions 521 to 896 of the family's 1533-position model. The record is from RNAcentral. Lineage: Bacteria; Bacillati; Bacillota.
UAAUACGUAGGGUGCGAGCGUUAUCCGGAAUCAUUGGGCGUAAAGAGCUCGUAGGCGGUUCAGUAAGUCGGCUGUGAAAUUUCGAGGCUCAACCUCGAAACUGCAGUCGAAACUGCUGUGACUCGAGUCCGGUAGAGGAGAAUGGAAUUCCCGGUGUAGCGGUGAAAUGCGCAGAUAUCGGGAGGAACACCAGUAGCGAAGGCGGUUCUCUGGGCCGGCACUGACGCUGAGGAGCGAAAGCGUGGGUAGCAAACAGGAUUAGAUACCCUGGUAGUCCACGCCGUAAACGUUGGAUACUAGGUGUGGCGUCCCGAUUAACGGUCGCCGUGCCGAAGCUAACGCAUUAAGUAUCCCGCCUGGGGAGUACGGCUGCAAGGCUA